UACGUAGGGUGCGAGCGUUAAUCGGAAUUACUGGGCGUAAAGCGUGCGCAGGCGGUUCGUUAAGUCAGCUGUGAAAGCCCCGGGCUUAACCUGGGAAUGGCGGUUGAAACUGGCGAACUUGAAUCUGGCAGAGGGGGGUGGAAUUCCACGUGUAGCAGUGAAAUGCGUAGAUAUGCGGAGGAACACCGAUGGCGAAGGCAAUCCCCUGGGCCUGCACUGACGCUCAUGCACGAAAGCGUGGGGAGCAAACAGG
Molecule: ribosomal RNA, 253 nt
Filed under: uncultured bacterium
Lineage: Bacteria
Description: partial 16S ribosomal RNA
Rfam family: Bacterial small subunit ribosomal RNA
Source: RNAcentral